UCCAGACUCCUACGGGAGGCAGCAGUGAGGAAUAUUGGUCAAUGGCCGAGAGGCUGAACCAGCCAAGUCGCGUGAGGGAAGACGGCCCUACGGGUUGUAAACCUCUUUUGUCGGGGAGCAAAGCGAACCACGUGUGGUUCAUUGAGAGUACCCGAAGAAAAAGCAUCGGCUAACUCCGUGCCAGCAGCCGCGGUAAUACGUAGGGGGCAAGCGUUAUCCGGAUUUACUGGGUGUAAAGGGAGCGUAGACGGCUGUGCAAGUCUGAAGUGAAAGCCCGUGGCUCAACCGCGGAACUGCUUUGGAAACUGUAUAGCUUGAGUACUGGAGAGGCAGGCGGAAUUCCUAGUGUAGCGGUGAAAUGCGUAGAUAUUAGGAGGAACACCAGUGGCGAAGGCGGCUUACUGGACUGUAACUGACACUGAGGCACGAAAGCGUGGGGAGCAAACAGGAUUAGAUACCCUGGUAUG
This 467-nucleotide ribosomal RNA is filed under the name uncultured bacterium. RNAcentral's name for it is "bacterial SSU rRNA". It matches the Rfam family "Bacterial small subunit ribosomal RNA", at positions 330 to 793 of the family's 1533-position model. The record is from RNAcentral.